CCUACGGGUGGCAGCAGUGGGGAAUAUUGCACAAUGGGGGAAACCCUGAUGCAGCGACGCCGCGUGAGUGAAGAAGUAUUUCGGUAUGUAAAGCUCUAUCAGUAGGGAAGAUAACGACGGUACCCGACCAAGAAGCCCCGGCUAACUACGUGCCAGCAGCCCUGGUUAAUAGUAGGGGGCCAGCGUUAUUCGGAUGUACUGGGUGUUAAGGGGGUGUAGAGGGCAUGGCAAGUCUGAAGUGAAAGCCCGGGGUCCAACCUCGGGACUGCUUUGGAGACUGUUAAGCUGGAGUGCAGGUGAGGUAAGUGGAAUUCCUGGUGUAGCGGUGAAAUGCGUAGAUAUUAGGAGGAACACCGGUGGCGAAGGCGGCUUACUGGGCUGUAACUGACGUUGAGGCACGAAAGCGUGGGGAGCAAACAGGAUUAGAUACCCUGGUAGUC
RNAcentral lists this ribosomal RNA (440 nucleotides) under uncultured bacterium. RNAcentral's name for it is "partial 16S ribosomal RNA". It matches the Rfam family "Bacterial small subunit ribosomal RNA", at positions 338 to 795 of the family's 1533-position model. The record is from RNAcentral.